UACGUAGGGUGCGAGCGUUGUCCGGAAUUAUUGGGCGUAAAGAGCUCGUAGGCGGUCUGUCGCGUCGGUCGUGAAAACUUGGGGCUUAACCCUGAGCUUGCGGUCGAUACGGGCAUGACUGGAGUUCGGCAGGGGAGACUGGAAUUCCUGGUGUAGCGGUGAAAUGCGCAGAUAUCAGGAGGAACACCGGUGGCGAAGGCGGGUCUCUGGGCCGAUACUGACGCUGGGGAGCGAAAGCGUGGGGAGCGAACAGG
This 254-nucleotide ribosomal RNA is filed under the name uncultured bacterium. RNAcentral's name for it is "partial 16S ribosomal RNA". It matches the Rfam family "Bacterial small subunit ribosomal RNA", at positions 524 to 776 of the family's 1533-position model. The record is from RNAcentral.